This 467-nucleotide ribosomal RNA is filed under the name uncultured bacterium. Its description in RNAcentral is "partial 16S ribosomal RNA". It matches the Rfam family "Bacterial small subunit ribosomal RNA", at positions 28 to 507 of the family's 1533-position model. The record is from RNAcentral.
GAUGAACGCUGACAGAAUGCUUAACACAUGCAAGUCCACUUGAAUUUGGGUUUUUAACUUAGGUUUGGGUGGCGGACGGGUGAGUAACGCGUAAAGAACUUGCCUCACAGCUAGUGACAACAUUUGGAAACGAAUGCUAAUACCUAAUAUUAUGAUAAUAGGGCAUCCUAUAAUUAUGAAAGCUAUAAGCGCUGUGAGAGAGCUUUGCGUCCCAUUAGCUAGUUGGAGAGGUAACGGCUCACCAAGGCGAUGAUGGGUAGCCGGCCUGAGAGGGUGAUCGGCCACAAGGGGACUGAGACACGGCCCUUACUCAUACGGGAGGCAGCAGUGGGGAAUAUUGGACAAUGGACCGAGAGUCUGAUCCAGCAAUUCUGUGUGCACGAUGAAGUUUUUCGGAAUGUAAAGUGCUUUCAGUUGGGAAGAAACAAAUGACGGUACCAACAGAAGAAGUGACGGCUAACUACGUG